AUUGAACGCUGGCGGCAGGCCUAACACAUGCAAGUCGAGCGGAUGAAGGGAGCUUGCUCCUGGAUUCAGCGGCGGACGGGUGAGUAAUGCCUAGGAAUCUGCCUGGUAGUGGGGGAUAACGUCCGGAAACGGGCGCUAAUACCGCAUACGUCCUGAGGGAGAAAGUGGGGGAUCUUCGGACCUCACGCUAUCAGAUGAGCCUAGGUCGGAUUAGCUAGUUGGUGGGGUAAAGGCCUACCAAGGCGACGAUCCGUAACUGGUCUGAGAGGAUGGUCAGUCACACUGGAGCUGGGACACGGUCCAGACUCCUACGGGAGGCAGCAGUGGGGAAUAUUGGACAAUGGGCGAAAGCCUGAUCCAGCCAUGCCGCGUGUGUGAAGAAGGUCUUCGGAUUGUAAAGCACUUUAAGUUGGGAGGAAGGGCAGUAAGUUAAUACCUUGCUGUUUUGACGUUACCAACAGAAUAAGCACCGGCUAACUUCGUG
RNAcentral lists this ribosomal RNA (484 nucleotides) under uncultured bacterium. RNAcentral's name for it is "partial 16S ribosomal RNA". It matches the Rfam family "Bacterial small subunit ribosomal RNA", at positions 30 to 507 of the family's 1533-position model. The record is from RNAcentral.